UACACACUGAGUUUCCCCAAACUCACCCCUUUUAUUUUCAUCCACGCAGGAAAUCCCCAACCAUAGUGGGCUUGGAGCUGUGAGGGAAUUCGGAGUGGCCACCCAUUCUGAAAGUUUGAUUUUCUUCUGGUGAACUUGACAUCCUUUUAAUUACGUUUGAGGUUUUGGGCUUUUAAAUGUAAUAAGGCCGCUUAUUUAUUUUUGAUGGUUUUUAUAUGUUUUAUUAAGAUAGGU
Molecule: long non-coding RNA, 234 nt
Filed under: Gossypium barbadense (sea-island cotton)
Lineage: Eukaryota; Viridiplantae; Streptophyta; Magnoliopsida; Malvales; Malvaceae
Description: long non-coding RNA (GBAR_LNC007263)
Source: RNAcentral